This 429-nucleotide long non-coding RNA is filed under the name Phoenix dactylifera (date palm). RNAcentral's name for it is "long non-coding RNA (PDAC_LNC010656)". Lineage: Eukaryota; Viridiplantae; Streptophyta; Magnoliopsida; Arecales; Arecaceae. The record is from RNAcentral.
CAGACGGUAGUCGCAGAUGGUAGGUGCCCACAGCCACAGCAGCAACUUUUGCCCCGUUGCCAACCCGAAGGGUUACCGCACCUUCCGCCAGCAUUUUACUUUCAUUUAGACCCUGCAUGGUAGUGCACAAAUGAGCACUAGAACCAGAAUCUAUAACCCAACUAGAAGUAGAAGAAACUAUUAAAUUAGUUUCAAUUAUGAGCAAGUCUAUACCUUCUGAAGGUGUGUCACCUUUCUUGUUCUUUAGGCUCUCGAGGUAUGAAGGACAGUUUCUCUUCCAGUGGCCGUCGACAUUGCAGUGGAAACAUUUUCCUUUGUCAUUAGCCUUUUUCUUUUGAACUUCCUUCUUUGGCUUCUUGUCUUUCUUCUGCUUCUUAGCAGGCUUCUUUUUCUUCCAAGUAGACUUUCUCUUGGAACCAGAAGUCAACU